AGAGAAUAGAUACCCGGGUAGUCCACGCCCUAAACGAUGUCGACUGGUUGUUGGGGGUUUGACACUCUCAGUAAACGAAAGCUAAACGCGUGAAGUCGACCGCCUGGGGAGUACGGCCGCAAGGUUAAACUCAAAGGAAUUGACGGGGACCCGCACAAGCGGUGGAUUAUGUGGAUUAAUUCGAUGCAACGCGAAAAACCUUACCUACCCUUGACAUGUCCGGAAGGCUGCUGAAAGGCGGCUGUGCCCGAAAGGGAACUGGAACACAGGUGCUGCAUGGCUGUCGUCAGCUCGUGUCGUGAGAUGUUGGGUUAAGUCCCGCAACGAGCGCAACCCUUGUCAUUAGUUGCUACCCGCAAGGGAGCACUCUAAUGAGACUGCCGGUGACAAACCGGAGGAAGGUGGGGAUGACGUCAAGUCCUCAUGGCCCUUAUGGGUAGGGCUUCACA
This 449-nucleotide ribosomal RNA is filed under the name uncultured bacterium. Its description in RNAcentral is "bacterial SSU rRNA". It matches the Rfam family "Bacterial small subunit ribosomal RNA", at positions 774 to 1220 of the family's 1533-position model. The record is from RNAcentral.